Molecule: ribosomal RNA, 305 nt
Filed under: uncultured bacterium
Lineage: Bacteria
Description: bacterial SSU rRNA
Rfam family: Bacterial small subunit ribosomal RNA
Source: RNAcentral
UUUCCUACGGGGCGCAGCAGUGAGGAAUAUUGGUCAAUGGGCGGAAGCCUGAACCAGCCAAGUCGCGUGAGGGAAGAAGGCCCUGCGGGUCGCAGACCUCUUUGGACGGGGAGCAAGGCCGCCGACGUGUCGGCGGAAGGAGAGUACCCGUAGAACAAGCAUCGGCUAACUCCGUGCCAGCAGCCGCGGUAAUACGUAGGUGGCGAGCGUUAUCCGGAAUGAUUGGGCGUAAAGGGUGCGUAGGCGGCCUGCUAAGUCUGGAGUGAAAGGUACCGGCUCAACCGGUACAGGCUCUGGAAACUGGC